Molecule: ribosomal RNA, 1081 nt
Filed under: Scolopocerus secundarius
Lineage: Eukaryota; Metazoa; Arthropoda; Insecta; Hemiptera; Coreidae
Description: SSU rRNA
Rfam family: Eukaryotic small subunit ribosomal RNA
Source: RNAcentral
ACCACAUCCAAGGAAGGCAGCAGGCACGCAAAUUACCCACUCCCGGCACGGGGAGGUAGUGACAAAAAAUAACGAUACGGGACUCAUCCGAGGCCCCGUAAUCGGAAUGAGAACACCCUAAAUCCUUUAACGAGGAUCUAUUGGAGGGCAAGUCUGGUGCCAGCAGCCGCGGUAAUUCCAGCUCCAAUAGCGUAUAUUAAAGUUGUUGCGGUUAAAAAGCUCGUAGUUGGUUCUGCGUGCCACGCUGUCGGUUCACCGCCUGCCGGUGCAACUGGCAUGCCGUGGCAUGUCCUGUCGGUGGCGGAUAGGCUUCGCGGCGUGCCCUAUGCGGUAUACCAACGUGUAGGUCGCUGCGCCGCGUUGUCCUUGUACGCCGGCUCAAUCCUACCGCGGUGCUCUUUACCGAGUGUCGAGGUAGGCCGACACUGUUUACUUUGAACAAAUUAGAGUGCUUAAAGCAGGCUCUUAAAUCAGCCUGAAUAGUGGUGCAUGGAAUAAUGGAACAGGACCUUGGUUCUAUUUUGUUGGUUUUCGGAAUCCAAGGUAAUGAUCAAUAAGGACAGGCGGGGGCAUUCGUAUUGCGACGUUAGAGGUGAAAUUCUUGGAUCGUCGCAAGACGCACUAGAGCGAAAGCAUUUGCCAAGUAUGUCUUAAUUGAUCAAGAACGAAAGUUAGAGGUUCGAAGGCGAUCAGAUACCGCCCUAGUUCUAACCAUAAACGAUGCCAGCCAGCGAUCCGCCGACGUUCCUCCGAUGACUCGGCGGGGAGCUUUCCCCGGGAAACCAAAAGCUUUUGGGUUCCGGGGGAAGUAUGGUUGCAAAGCUGAAACUUAAAGGAAUUGACGGAAGGGCACCACCAGGAGUGGAGCCUGCGGCUUAAUUUGACUCAACACGGGAAACCUCACCAGGCCCGGACAUUGGAAGGAUUGACAGAUCGAUAGCUCUUUCUCGAUUCAGUGGGUAGUGGUGCAUGGCCGUUCUUAGUUGGUGGACUGAUUUGUCUGGUUUAUUCCGAUAACGAACGAGACUCUAACCUAUUAACUAGGCGUUGCCGGUAUAAACAGCUACCGGCGAGAUUUAUU